This 277-nucleotide ribosomal RNA is filed under the name uncultured bacterium. RNAcentral describes it as "partial 16S ribosomal RNA". It matches the Rfam family "Bacterial small subunit ribosomal RNA", at positions 32 to 319 of the family's 1533-position model. The record is from RNAcentral.
AAUCAACGCUGGCGGCGCGCUUAACACAUGCAAGUCGAGCGAGAAAGCGGAGCAAUUCGUGAGUAAAGCGGCGUACGGGUGAGUAACACGUGGAUGAUCUACCUUUUAGUGGGGAAUAACCCUGGGAAACCGGGGAUAAUACCGCAUAAGCCUGCAGAGGGAAAGCAGAAAUGCGCUGAAAGAGGAGUCCGCGGCCGAUUAGCUAGUUGGUGAGGUAAUGGCUCACCAAGGCGACGAUCGGUAGCCGGCCUGAGAGGGCACACGGCCACACUGGCAC